GACGAACCGUGCGAACGUUGUUCGGAUUCACUGGGCUUAAAGGGCGCGUAGGCGGAUGGUCAAGUCGGGGGUGAAAUCAUUUCAGCUUAACUGGAAAAGUGCCUCCGAUACUGAUCGUCUCGAGGGAGGUAGGGGCAUGUGGAACUUCCGGUGGAGCGGUGAAAUGCGUAGAUAUCGGAAGGAACGCCGGUGGCGAAAGCGGCCUGCUGGGCUAUGGCUGCACUGAGGCGCGACAGCGUGGG
Molecule: ribosomal RNA, 242 nt
Filed under: uncultured bacterium
Lineage: Bacteria
Description: partial 16S ribosomal RNA
Rfam family: Bacterial small subunit ribosomal RNA
Source: RNAcentral